CCCGUGGUCCGGGCCCCUCUGGCAGCAGCCGCCGGCGCUUCUGCGAUGUCGGACCGUUUUC
Molecule: regulatory RNA element, 61 nt
Rfam family: terC RNA
Source: Rfam